GUUUGAUCCUGGCUCAGGACGAACGCUGGCGGCGUGCUUAACACAUGCAAGUCGAACGGAAAGGCCCUUCGGAGCACUCGAGUGGCGAACGGGUGAGUAACACGUGGGUGAUCUGCCCUGCACUUUGGGAUAAGCCUGGGAAACUGGGUCUAAUACCGAAUAGGACCGCGCGCUUCAUGGUGUGUGGUGGAAAGCUUUUGCGGUGUGGGAUGGGCCCGCGGCCUAUCAUCUUGUUGGUGGGGUAAUGGCCUACCAAGGCGACGACGGGUAGCCGGCCUGAGAGGGUGACCGGCCACACUGGGACUGAGAUACGGCCCAGACUCCUACGGGAGGCAGCAGUGGGGAAUAUUGCACAAUGGGCGCAAGCCUGAUGCAGCGACGCCGCGUGAGGGAUGACGGCCUUCGGGUUGUAAACCUCUUUCACCAGGGACGAAGCGCAAGUGACGGUACCUGGAGAAGAAGCACCGGCCAACUACGUGCCAGCAGCCGCGGUAAUACGUAGGGUGCGAGCGUUGUCCGGAAUUACUGGGCGUAAAGAGCUCGUAGGUGGUUUGUCGCGUUGUUCGUGAAAACUCACAGCUUAACUGUGGGCGUGCGGGCGAUACGGGCAGACUAGAGUACUGCAGGGGAGACUGGAAUUCCUGGUGUAGCGGUGGAAUGCGCAGAUAUCAGGAGGAACACCGGUGGCGAAGGCGGGUCUCUGGGCAGUAACUGACGCUGAGGAGCGAAAGCGUGGGGAGCGAACAGGAUUAGAUACCCUGGUAGUC
RNAcentral lists this ribosomal RNA (767 nucleotides) under uncultured bacterium. Its description in RNAcentral is "bacterial SSU rRNA". It matches the Rfam family "Bacterial small subunit ribosomal RNA", at positions 11 to 795 of the family's 1533-position model. The record is from RNAcentral.